This 482-nucleotide ribosomal RNA is filed under the name uncultured bacterium. Its description in RNAcentral is "partial 16S ribosomal RNA". It matches the Rfam family "Bacterial small subunit ribosomal RNA", at positions 30 to 507 of the family's 1533-position model. The record is from RNAcentral.
AUUGAACGCUGGCGGCAUGCUUUACACAUGCAUGUCGAACGGUAACAGGUCUUCGGAUGCUGACGAGUGGCGAACGGGUGAGUAAUACAUCGGAACGUGCCUAGUAGUGGGGGAUAACUACUCGAAAGAGUAGCUAAUACCGCAUGAGAUCUACGGAUGAAAGCAGGGGACCUUCGGGCCUUGUGCUACUAGAGCGGCUGAUGGCAGAUUAGGUAGUUGGUGGGGUAAAGGCUUACCAAGCCUGCGAUCUGUAGCUGGUCUGAGAGGACGACCAGCCACACUGGGACUGAGACACGGCCCAGACUCCUACGGGAGGCAGCAGUGGGGAAUUUUGGACAAUGGGCGAAAGCCUGAUCCAGCAAUGCCGCGUGCAGGAUGAAGGCCCUCGGGUUGUAAACUGCUUUUGUACGGAACGAAAAGCCUGGGGCUAAUAUCCCCGGGUCAUGACGGUACCGUAAGAAUAAGCACCGGCUAACUACGUG